Molecule: ribosomal RNA, 253 nt
Filed under: uncultured bacterium
Lineage: Bacteria
Description: partial 16S ribosomal RNA
Rfam family: Bacterial small subunit ribosomal RNA
Source: RNAcentral
UACGUAGGGUGCGAGCGUUGUCCGGAAUUAUUGGGCGUAAAGGGCUCGUAGGCGGUCUGUCACGUCGGGAGUGAAAACUCAGGGCUUAACCCUGAGCCUGCUUCCGAUACGGGCAGACUAGAGGUAUGCAGGGGAGAACGGAAUUCCUGGUGUAGCGGUGAAAUGCGCAGAUAUCAGGAGGAACACCGGUGGCGAAGGCGGUUCUCUGGGCCUUACCUGACGCUGAGGAGCGAAAGCGUGGGGAGCGAACAGG